UGCAAUCUAUGAUGCAAACUACCAUAUCUAUGAUUUUCCUAUGAUUAUUGUUUAAAAAUUCACCAUCUUUCGGCUGAGGUUGCA
Molecule: small nucleolar RNA, 84 nt
Organism: Mangifera indica (mango)
Lineage: Eukaryota; Viridiplantae; Streptophyta; Magnoliopsida; Sapindales; Anacardiaceae
Source: RefSeq, a predicted model, not a curated record